CUCUCUAUAUACUGGUAACAUGGUAAUAAAAAAAACCUCAUCAACCAUACCAGGCUUAUAUUUUUGUAUGCCCUGCAUGUAUUUAGUCUACAAAAGACUUAUUCUUGAAACAAAAAAGUUAAAAUGCCAAACAAACAACAUAGUUGAAAGGGCAUUGAGGACCCAAAAUUCCUAAGGUUUUACAGAACAAAGCUUAGACAAUCUAUGGCACAUCUAGAAACCUUAUAAAUAAAACAAAAUUAUCAUGGUUUGCUUAACAUAGGUGGAAUCUUAUUUUCGUAAGGAAAUAGUUUUACUAAAUUGUCAGACUUUACAAACUUUCUCCAAUAAUAAACAUUGUAUUAGUGUAACUUUCCGCCCCUUUAUCAUAUUGAAAAAGAAUACACAAAAAAUGCAUUGUAUGAAAGGUUUAUUAGAAACAUUUUAAUAUAUUAAAAACAAGACAAAAAAUUAAACAAUACAAAAAAUAAAUUUCAUAAUAAUCACAGUCCAACCAUAAUCAUUUUUUUUAUGUAAUGCUCUUUUUAUACCUAUCUAAAUUUAUGUUUUAUAAAACUUCCUCUUAUAGACAAUUCAUUUUAACAUAGAAAACAUCAAAUGGGAAGGACAAAGUGUCAUACUUAUAUUUCCCCUAUAACUUAGACUUCCUUGAUAAAUAAAAGUAAAAACUAGUUCAAGAGAUCAAGUUAUAGUCCAAAAAUCAAGUUUAUGUUUGCAAAAUGACAACAAAAUUAUGCCAUCAUUCAUAUAUUAUACUAAAAGUGAUGUAAAGUCUGACUUCAUUCAUAAUUUUGUUUUUAAAAUGACUUGUUAAAUAUUACUUACAAAAGAUACUGUUAAGAAACUGUUAAGAAAUGCAAUAUAAGAUAAAAUGUUAAAUAAAAGUAUGAAUGUUUAUUUUACAAACAUAUAUAUUAGUUUGUAACUUUUAUUUAAAGAAUCUUAACCAAUGUUAUUCCAAAGAUUCCAUUUACUGUAAACCAACUUAAUUUCGCGGAUACUUUAUGUCGCAUUUGGCCCUUUCUUGCCCACUGCGUAACGAUUUUAUUUUUGCAAUUAUAAAAUUUACUUAAUGUAUUAAGAUAAGCAAAGAUACAAGUUUUACAUGUUCACCACGAUUUAUAUUUGCGUUAUGUUUCUACUCGUGAAAGUCGCAAAAAUAAUUAGCUAACGAAAAUAAUAGGAUUACAGUAAUUAAGGCUUUUUGAUAUCUCUUGUCUUUGAAAUGUAAAAUCUAACAAGGCAUCAUCGAUUCAAAUAAAAUCAAUAAUAUUUUCUAUCCACUUAAAAAUCUUUUAGAUAAUAUAAUUUCAAACCAUAAACAGAAUAAUAGAAUGUAAAUUAUGUAAUCAUAAUAAAUAAGUAAAACAAGGCAAUUAAGGCAUGUCUAAAAAAAAAUAACAAGAAGUACAUUAGGCUUGAUGUAAACAGUGAAUGUGAUUUCUAGUCCAUAAAUUCAUAAGUAUAUUCAAUUGUCAAAUACCUAAACAUAUAUUUAAAGUUUUAUUUCAGCUUUAAUUCAAAACAAAAUCCAGGGGCUCUUUUUUUAAAACAAACAAAUCUUACAUCAAUUGUAAUUUGUACCAAAAUUUUCUCGUUAGUUUUGUAAAUUAAUCGACAGCUCUUACAAUCAAAUAUUUUGAUACAUGUUCAAACUUCAAAUGUUGAAAAAAAAAAUCUACUCUGACCAUACUUUACCAAGGGUGAGUUUAAAAAGAAGCAAAUUAAUUUAUUUUAUAUUUAUAGAUAUUCAAUAUCUAAAGAUCAGCACCUCUGACUGCCAAUUAGGUAACAUACAAAUAAAUAUUAUCACAAAAAAAAAAAACCCAACACAUACUACAAAAAAAACAAUGUGUAAAUUUAACAAUUGUCACAAAAAAACAACUUCAUCUAGUAUAACAACUUCAUCUAGUAUAACAACUAUGGCAUCUUAUAUUCAUAUAUGCCAUUAACAAUCACAUCACAUUAUUAAAAAAUAAUAUUUAAAAAAGCACUAAAAUUCCAUUGCAGUACUUUUCUAUUUCAAAUCAUGAUAACUAAAAGUUCAUAGUUCAGAUUGCUUUUUUAAUAUUCUCAAUAUAUUUUACUAAUUUCAUACUUGAUUAAUUCUGCAGUUAUUGAAAAACAAGUAAAGAUACUGACUUAAAUUUGAAUCCAGAAAAAUGUUGGAAAAUGCUUAUCUUCAUAUCUGCAAUAUUAUAACUUAAUUCAUUAACAAUUUUUAUAAUCCUUUAUUGGAAUAAAAUCAUUAUAAAAUUUGCUCACCUUGCUAUGCGUGCCACUAUUUACUGCUGACAUAUUUCAACCAUUUUUUUUUAACAGUUUAUGAUUCUUAAGAUAAACAUAAAUAAACAUGAUUGCUGCACCUUAUGUAUAGUCCUCAAAAUAUGUUUACAAAACAACAAAUCUAUAACAACUGAUAAAGCACAUAGAACAACUUUACAUAUUGUUAUAAUGUCCCUCACCUCAUAUUAUACAGCAGAGUUAUAUACUCAUGAUUUUACCCAAAACCUAAAAGUCACUCAAAAAAUAAAUUAACACCAAUACUUCACCUACAUUAUUUGAAAAAUUGCAGUUUACAUUAGUUGCUUUUUUUACAGAGAAGAAAUAUUUGUGAAAAUGAAGAGAAUGGGUAUAGACAGAAGCUCAUCUCAAGGAUCCUUGUUACAGCCUCCUGCUAUUGAUAAUUUUUUUCAUGUUGUCCAAAGUCACAAACACAUCUUUUAUUUCAUUUGCAGCAGGUCAUCUUUCCUAAUUAUUCUUUAAUAUUCAAAAUAGAUUUUUUUUUCUGUCUAUGAAGAAAUAACAUAAAAAAAAAAAAAAUAACCCACUACGCUGGUUAUUUAGUGUGCACCACAUUUUUAAUGUUAUUUCUUCAUAGACAAGAAAAA
Molecule: long non-coding RNA, 2891 nt
Filed under: Mytilus galloprovincialis (Mediterranean mussel)
Lineage: Eukaryota; Metazoa; Mollusca; Bivalvia; Mytilida; Mytilidae
Source: RNAcentral